AUUGAACGCUGGCGGCAGGCCUAACACAUGCAGUCGAACGGUAACAGGAAGCAGCUUGCUGCUUUGCUGACGAGUGGCGGACGGGUGAGUAAUGUCUGGGAAACUGCCUGAUGGAGGGGGAUAACUACUGGAAACGGUAGCUAAUACCGCAUAACGUCGCAAGACCAAAGAGGGGGACCUUCGGGCCUCUUGCCAUCGGAUGUGCCCAGAUGGGAUUAGCUAGUAGGUGGGGUAACGGCUCACCUAGGCGACGAUCCCUAGCUGGUCUGAGAGGAUGACCAGCCACACUGGAACUGAGACACGGUCCAGACUCCUACGGGAGGCAGCAGUGGGGAAUAUUGCACAAUGGGCGCAAGCCUGAUGCAGCCAUGCCGCGUGUAUGAAGAAGGCCUUUCGGGUUGUAAAGUACUUUUCAGCGGGGAGGAAGGCGAUAAGGUUAAUAACCUUGUCGAUUGACGUUACCCGCAGAAGA
Molecule: ribosomal RNA, 472 nt
Filed under: Enterobacter hormaechei
Lineage: Bacteria; Pseudomonadati; Pseudomonadota; Gammaproteobacteria; Enterobacterales; Enterobacteriaceae
Description: bacterial SSU rRNA
Rfam family: Bacterial small subunit ribosomal RNA
Source: RNAcentral